RNAcentral lists this small nuclear RNA (298 nucleotides) under Mustela putorius furo (domestic ferret). Its description in RNAcentral is "7SK RNA (ENSMPUG00000022679.1)". It matches the Rfam family "7SK RNA". From Rfam's summary of the family: 7SK was discovered as an abundant small nuclear RNA in the mid-70s but a possible function has only recently been suggested. Two independent studies have found that 7SK RNA binds the CDK9/cyclin T complex (known as elongation factor P-TEFb). The record is from Rfam by way of RNAcentral. Lineage: Eukaryota; Metazoa; Chordata; Mammalia; Carnivora; Mustelidae.
GGAUGUGAGGGCGAUCUGGCUGCGACAUCUGUCACCCCAUUGAUCGCCAGGGUUGAUUCGGCUGAUCUGGCUGGCUAGGCGGGUGUCCCCUUCCUCCCUCACCGCUCCAUGUGCGUCCCUCCCGAAGCUGCACGCUCGGUCGAAGAGGACGACCUUCCCCGAUAGAGGAGAGGACCGUUCUUCGGUCAAGGGUAUACGAGUAGCUGCGCUCCCCUACUAGAACCUCCAAACAAGCUCUCAAGAGUAUUUCAAUACUGAUUCAAUCAAUAGUAAGAUGACUGUAAGAUAUUCUUUAUAG